Molecule: ribosomal RNA, 484 nt
Filed under: uncultured bacterium
Lineage: Bacteria
Description: partial 16S ribosomal RNA
Rfam family: Bacterial small subunit ribosomal RNA
Source: RNAcentral
AUUGAACGCUGGCGGCAGGCCUAACACAUGCAAGUCGAGCGGAUGAAGGGAGCUUGCUCCUGGAUUCAGCGGCGGACGGGUGAGUAAUGCCUAGGAAUCUGCCUGGUAGUGGGGGAUAACGUCCGGAAACGGGCGCUAAUACCGCAUACGUCCUGAGGGAGAAAGUGGGGGAUCUUCGGACCUCACGCUAUCAGAUGAGCCUAGGUCGGAUUAGCUAGUUGGUGGGGUAAAGGCCUACCAAGGCGACGAUCCGUAACUGGUCUGAGAGGAUGAUCAGUCACACUGGAACUGAGACACGGUCCAGACUCCUACGGGAGGCAGCAGUGGGGAAUAUCGGACAAUGGGCGAAAGCCCGAUCCAGCCAUGCCGCGUGUGUGAAGAAGGUCUUCGGAUUGUAAAGCACUUUAAGUUGGGAGGAAGGGCAGUAAGUUAAUACCUUGCUGUUUUGACGUUACCAACAGAAUAAGCACCGGCUAACUUCGUG